Molecule: non-coding RNA, 68 nt
Filed under: Lachnospiraceae bacterium
Lineage: Bacteria; Bacillati; Bacillota; Clostridia; Lachnospirales; Lachnospiraceae
Source: RNAcentral
AGCCGAAACAGUGGGGGUUCCCACUGUCUGCCGGGGAUGGCCGCCCGGCACUGACGAGGCAGGCCGAA